AGGACGAACGCUGGCGGCGUGCUUAACACAUGCAAGUCGAGCGGAAAGGCCCUUCGGGGUACUCGAGCGGCGAACGGGUGAGUAACACGUGAGCAACCUGCCCUUAGCUCUGGGAUAGCUCCGGGAAACCGGGAUUAAUACCGGAUAUGACCACAGUCGGCCUCGACUGUGGUGGAAAGAUUCAUCGGCUAGGGAUGGACUCGCGGCCUAUCAGCUUGUUGGUGAGGUAACGGCUCACCAAGGCGACGACGGGUAGCCGGCCUGAGAGGGCGACCGGCCACACUGGGACUGAGACACGGCCCAGACUCCUACGGGAGGCAGCAGUGGGGAAUAUUGCGCAAUGGGCGAAAGCCUGACGCAGCAACGCCGCGUGGGGGAUGAAUGCCUUCGGGUUGUAAACCCCUUUCAGCAGGGACGAAGCGAAAGUGACGGUACCUGCAGAAGAAGCGCCGGCUAACUACGUGCCAGCAGCCGCGGUAAUACGUAGGGCGCAAGCGUUGUCCGGAAUUAUUGGGCGUAAAGAGCUCGUAGGUGGUCUGUUACGUCUGCUGUGAAAACCUAGGGCUUAACCCUGGGCCUGCAGUGGAUACGGGCAGACUAGAGGUAGGUAGGGGAGAGUGGAAUUCCCGGUGUAGCGGUGAAAUGCGCAGAUAUCGGGAGGAACACCGGUGGCGAAGGCGGUUCUCUGGGCCUUACCUGACGCUGAGGAGCGAAAGCGUGGGGAGCGAACAGGAUUAGAUACCCUGGUAGUCCACGCUGUAAACGUUGGGCGCUAGGUGUGGGGUCCUUCCACGGAUUCCGUGCCGCAGCUAACGCAUUAAGCGCCCCGCCUGGGGAGUACGGCCGCAAGGC
Molecule: ribosomal RNA, 852 nt
Filed under: uncultured soil bacterium
Lineage: Bacteria
Description: bacterial SSU rRNA
Rfam family: Bacterial small subunit ribosomal RNA
Source: RNAcentral